Long non-coding RNA from Daphnia magna, 966 nucleotides. RefSeq lists it as uncharacterized. The record is from RefSeq and is a predicted model, not a curated record. NCBI's taxonomy places the organism in Eukaryota, Metazoa, Arthropoda, Branchiopoda, Diplostraca, Daphniidae. The transcript has 3 exons.
GCCAAGAAAAAUGUCAACAUCUUCUGUUAUAUGUCCAAUUUGCUCUGGUUCCAUAAAUAUGAAGAACCCGAUUAAUUUUUACUCACAUAUCAACUGGAAUCAUUCGUUCAGUACCAACUUCUUCGUAACAUGCAAGUUUGCAGGAUGUCUCAGCAGUACAACAAGUUUCUGUCAUUCAAACGCCAUGGGAAUAAAGUACAUGGCAGUAGCAAAUCAAAUCAUGUUGAAUCAGCUGUUGAAGUAUCAAACGAAAAUGCAAAAGUUGACAUCCCUGUACUUCAAUCUGAAGAAGCCACAGAAGAGAAAAUUUUUGUUUCCGAAGACAGUUAUGAAAAGCACAAGAAAAUCUAAGCAUAUCAAAUCAUCCUGAAGCAGGUGAAGGAAUCAACACCAAUGCGGAGGUUAAAAUCCCUUUUGCAGAUCUGACUGAAAGAGAAUGGGAGGCUGGUGUACUGUUAUUGCUGCGACAGAAACACUAUCUCCCCUUUGAUGCCUUGAUGUGUGUUUCUGCUUCAAUGCAUGAUUUCUAUGAGAGACGUCUCUUAACCAUACAGGUAUUACCUUUUUUCCCUUAUUCCGUCCAAAUGUAUUUUUGAUUAUCAUUAAUUUUCACAAUGGAAAUAUAUUAUAUAUUGUUAUUGUAAGGAUCCGCCGACCAAAUCAAAAUUCAAACGGUAAAAUUUAACGGGGUGCUUUUAUUGCCCUGUUUUAACCCCAAAUUUGUUGCCUCGAAUGACCGACUUUGUACUUUUAUUACUCUAACGGUAAAGUCAGCCUUCUUUCGCCGACCUUAUAUUUUUGAACACGCCUGACCUCAUUUGAAUUUAAAUUCGACUCUCUGUGUUACCGUAUAAAAGACGGACAAACUUCACCAGCAGUAAGUCGAGUCACCAGUCGACCAGCGAGGCAAUCAGUGAGUCAGUCUUCUCCCGAUUUCUCCCUCCGUCUGUUACCUUUUCCCAUUAG